UACGGAGGGUGCAAGCGUUAUCCGGAUUCACUGGGUUUAAAGGGUGCGUAGGUGGGCAGGUAAGUCAGUGGUGAAAUCUCCGUGCUUAACAUGGAAACUGCCAUUGAUACUAUGUUUCUUGAAUUUUCUGGAGGUAAGCGGAAUAUGUCAUGUAGCGGUGAAAUGCUUAGAUAUGACAUAGAACACCAAUUGCGAAGGCAGCUUACUACAGGGACAUUGACACUGAGGCACGAAAGCGUGGGGAUCAAACAGG
This 253-nucleotide ribosomal RNA is filed under the name uncultured bacterium. RNAcentral's name for it is "partial 16S ribosomal RNA". It matches the Rfam family "Bacterial small subunit ribosomal RNA", at positions 524 to 776 of the family's 1533-position model. The record is from RNAcentral.